This is a long non-coding RNA of Astatotilapia calliptera (eastern happy), 3418 nucleotides long. NCBI's taxonomy places the organism in Eukaryota, Metazoa, Chordata, Actinopteri, Cichliformes, Cichlidae. The record is from Ensembl.
GGAUUUCCUGAUAAUUACCCCAUCAACAACAUGAUAAACAAUUUAUCUAUGUAAUCAAAAAAUAAAAACUUAAUGGGACUUAUGUCAACAUAUAAUCUUCAUAAUAACUUGUUUGCUGACUGGAUGAAAUGUGCACAAAGCAGCUGUCACUAUGUAAUCAAUAACAUAAUGCUUAUGUGACUCAGAUUAUCAUCCUAACACCCAGUAUGAUUUAUUGGACUAGUUAACGAAAUAGAAGUUUUACUCUGCUGCAGUCCAGGGAACCACAUGUACACUUAAUAUACAGAGCCAUCAUCAGUUUGUUUUGUUUACAGAAAGCUCAAAUAAAUGUAGUUUUUAUGAAAAUUUGUUGCUAUGAUUAAACUAUAAGAAUUUGAGUUGGUGGAUGAAUGGAUGGGCUGGAGCCAAUCCCAGCUGCCAUAGGGCACGAGCCAUUUGUACCUGGCAUGAAGGUCCUGGGUCAUGGCAAGAAUUUUUUAAACAGGUAUUAACAGGAUGAAUUGAAUUUUUUCUGGCAGCAGGCACUCAUGUGUGCACUUGAUAUAUAAAUAAUUAGGCACUGUCCAUGUUUCAAAAACUUCACAAACUACUUCAAAUGUGCAUGUGGGUCACAAGUACUCUCACACAUGCAUCAAGGCCAGUGUCAGGCUGGUAUUAAUAGAGCUCCUAGGGGCUUCAUGUUUAGUAGGACAUGGAAUAACUCUUCAGAAAAUCUGACGGUUUAGCUGUCUUUUUGACCAUCUUUGCCAGAAAACUUCAUGUGUUCAAAGUUUUUAAGGCACUAGUACAGUAGAGGCAGUAGGUGACAUAUAUUAACCCAAGCCUCCCCUUCUUUGACAAGAAAGCAUUUACAUCAGUUGGGGAGGGGGGGCAAUAAGAGCCCUUGUGGUUGUGCUGCCUCUGGUUAGUGAGGUUUUAGUAGCACUUCUGUAAGUACUGUACUUCUGUAUUAGCAAAGUUGGUGGGAAGGGCACAGCUGACGUAGGGCGCGUCCACUUUUCAAGAAGACUUUUCAAUGACUUUGAUUCAUUUCAUGGUGUUUGGACCUCUUUUACCUGGAGUUCUUGAACUCUUUCUUUUAAUUUUCUUCAUAUUUUCUGCCUGUAUGUAUUUCAGAAAAUGCUUUUGAAACAUCAGCAGCACCUGCAGUGGCAAAGAGAGGCAUAGCGGCCAGUAACUGGCAGCCAUGCAGGUGGAAAUAACAGUAUGUCUAUUGUUCUCUUUUACUUUUAAGUGUUUGGGUCUCAGUAAAAGAAUGCAAUACAAAUACUGAUUGACAUAGGAAUUAGUUUAUAAUUUUGUUUGCAUUUGUUGCUAUUUACCUGCACUAGUGGACUGCUUUCAUAUGCUGAACCCACCUGAACUUGGUCAGUAGUGUAGUUUAAAAAAAUUAAAAUAGGAAGAAUUUGAUUUUGUAUAUUUAAUCGAAAAACGGCAAUUUUCAUCCAAACCAUUUGUAUCAUCAUGCAAAAUACCAAACAACAACCUAACAACUUCUGAACAGAAGUCUUGACAAAGGACAACUCUGGAGGAGAUUAACAGCCACCAUGGAUCAUUUCAUGCUUUCACAAAGGCUGUACAGUGAUCACCUCUAAUACUCAUAACCCACAUACAGACUGGCCGGGCAAACAUCCAAGUUCCCUCCCAGAGACCUUUCCACAGAGGCUCGGAAAGUUCAUCUACUCGAAGUUGGAAAGCAUUAUCAAAUCUCCCUUCUUUAGGAAAAAUAAACAAAGAAUACAUACGCAACAGUCAGACCCCCAACCACCCCUCUCAGCCAAAACAGGAAGCUGAUCCAAGAAGCUGUGCUGUAAAGUUUGAUGGACCAGUCUAUAUUAAUUUCUCAAGCUAUACACAAUAUCCUUAAAGCUAAUUUUAAUAGUUAGGAAUCAGCCUACCAAGGCCUCUGACUUUGAGUGUCAUCUCAUCUAAAAGCACUCAACGACUCAGCAGCUCCCUCUGCAAGUAAUGGGCUUACAAGAGAGUCAGCCCAGGCAGGCACCAGAGACUCACCAAAGGCCACUUCUUCCAGGACAAGAUUGCCUUGGGAGACCCUUCCCGAGGCGAGGUGCCCCUGCUAGCUAACCUCCUGCUGUCAACUGGGGAAGCAAAUGGUGCAAUUCAUGGAGAGGUGCACUUAGAUUAGAAAUUUAGAAUUAAAAAUCAUUUAAAAAAUAUUAGAUUAGGUAUUUGAUUAAUACAUUGACAGUUUAGUUUUCAGCACAAAGAUAUUUGCAAGUGAAACAUUUUAACAAUGUUUUGUUUAAUAAUGUUUUUCUUCUUCACACCAAAAAUAAAUAAACAACUAAAUAAAUCCUCAUUCUAGUGUCUUUUCUUUGAUGUUACACUAUGUUAUGAACUUUUGAACUGGCCUCCUUUUCUUGCACAAACAUUUAUCACUGUGACCGAUUUAGUGCCUGGCAUGCCUGAAAACAAAGCUCUGCCUACAGUUUGAUUUCUAUCCAAGACAUUUCACUACACUUGUUCUUGAAAUUGUAAUCUGCUCAGGUGUUAAAUCCUUGGCCACUUUAACUUCAGAUAAAGACUAGAACAGGAAAGGAUCAAAUAAACAAGAGACAGGAUGACGCAAAGUGAAUUGUAGAUGGCCCGAGGCCACAGAGGAGCUAGAAACUGGUCAACAUCACUGCUGAGGAAAGUAAUAUUCAGGUAGACAUAAAGUAAAGAGCCCAGCUUGUGCCAUUGAAUUUCAAUGUAUAUCUCUCUCACUGGCAUUAAAUAGCAUUAUCAUAUGUUCUUUGAUAUAUCUUUAACAGGAUCUAGAAACAGUCACAUUUUCUGAGGUAACAGCUUGCUUCAAAACCUCUUUGUGUGAGGUAUAUAUUACUCACAUGUGACACAAUAGGUACCUACAGUACAAUAUUUUAACAGAGCAGAGUGCCCAGACAUACCAAACAUAUUUUGGGGGAAAUACCGAAAGGGGAGAAUACCCUGAAAAUCAAGUUGUGGUGUUUACCAGUACCUUGAGCCACUUUAUUUACUGCACAGCCUGUUUUUCCUUACUGAAAACAAAUGGAGCAUUUCCUGGUGCAGUGGAAUGACAAAUCGAUUCUUAGUUGACUAACAAGAUCCAGUGUUUAGAUUAAACCUCAAAGCAGAAACCUCUGGUUAGAACUUUGAUUGACAGAUAUUAAAAACACCUCUUUAGCUUUUCAUUACUUCUUUAAUCUCUUUCUUUUGUGUGAAAUUGGAAUUUCUAAGACACUGAAACUGGCUGAUCCAGACCUGACUGAAAUGGAUGACUUCAAGAUUAAACAGCUUCUAAGUCUUACAUCAGUCUAUUGUUGUUCAUCAGAUCUUACGAUCCUGUCACUGAAAAGAUGUUGCAAGCUAUGAGUUUACCCAGAAAUAAGAAAAGAUAAGAUAAACCUUUAUUAGUCCCACACGUGGGAAAUUUUUG